RNAcentral lists this ribosomal RNA (686 nucleotides) under fungal sp. K7. RNAcentral's name for it is "SSU rRNA". It matches the Rfam family "Eukaryotic small subunit ribosomal RNA", at positions 386 to 1078 of the family's 1831-position model. Lineage: Eukaryota; Fungi. The record is from RNAcentral. RNAcentral also lists the same sequence under 1 other name.
GAGAAGGAGCCUGAGAAACGGCUACUACAUCCAAGGAAGGCAGCAGGCGCGCAAAUUACCCAAUCCCGACACGGGGAGGUAGUGACAAUAAAUACUGAUACAGGGCUCUUUCGGGUCUUGUAAUUGGAAUGAGUACAAUUUAAAUCCCUUAACGAGGAACAAUUGGAGGGCAAGUCUGGUGCCAGCAGCCGCGGUAAUUCCAGCUCCAAUAGCGUAUAUUAAAGUUGUUGAGGUUAAAAAGCUCGUAGUUGAACCUUGGGCCUAGCCGGCCGGUCCGCCUCACCGCGUGCACUGGCUCGGCUGGGUCUUUCCUUCUGGAGAACCGCAUGCCCUUCACUGGGUGUGCCGGGGAACCAGGACUUUUACUCUGAACAAAUUAGAUCGCUUAAAGAAGGCCUAUGCUCGAAUACAUUAGCAUGGAAUAAUAGAAUAGGACGUGUGGUUCUAUUUUGUUGGUUUCUAGGACCGCCGUAAUGAUUAAUAGGGACAGUCGGGGGCAUCAGUAUUCAAUUGUCAGAGGUGAAAUUCUUGGAUUUAUUGAAGACUAACUACUGCGAAAGCAUUUGCCAAGGAUGUUUUCAUUAAUCAGGAACGAAAGUUAGGGGAUCGAAGACGAUCAGAUACCGUCGUAGUCUUAACCAUAAACUAUGCCGAUUAGGGAUCGGACGGCGUUAUUUUUUGACCCG